UCAACGUUUCAGUCCUGCACAGAGGACUUUCAUCAGGAUGAAAUGUCAAAGGUAUUUGAUCCUGAUGAAAGUCCUCUGUGCAGGACUGAAACG
Molecule: non-coding RNA, 93 nt
Organism: Pelobates cultripes (western spadefoot toad)
Lineage: Eukaryota; Metazoa; Chordata; Amphibia; Anura; Pelobatidae
Source: the annotation of a GenBank genome assembly